CAGCUCAUGUGGGACACAGCGCCUGCAACACUGAGUCUGUCCCAGAUGAUGAAAGAAGACAGUUACUACUGAAGGUUUUGGAGGUUUUGUUCCACAAAAUAGAAAGUCCAAACCAAGUCAGACCCUUUUUUCCCCUGCUAUUUUUCUACUCUGUGAACUCGCAAAGCCUGGAACUACCACCUCAAAGUAUAUGCAUGGCUUCUGCCUGCCUGCUUCCUCCAUACAAUGUAACCACCUGCCUAGAACUCCUGCCAUGAGAACUUCCCAUCAUGAUGGACCAUUAAACUGUGAGCCAAAAGAAAGCUUUUAUUUCUAAGGUUGAUUUAGUCAAGGCAUUUAUCCCAGCAACAAGAAAAGGAAUUAUAACAAUCUCUCACCAUUUUCUUCCUACAUGCAAGGAGGUAAGCAGACAAUGACAGUCCACACACUCACUCACUACUUAUUGUAAGAAACCAUGUAUAAGAAAAAAUGUCUAAUUGCCUGUGUCCAUCAGAGUCCUUUCUACAAGUGCCUUCUUCAGCCAUCAUCAGAGAAGCUCCC
RNAcentral lists this long non-coding RNA (540 nucleotides) under Cricetulus griseus (Chinese hamster). RNAcentral's name for it is "lncRNA (ENSCGRG00015038664.1)". The record is from RNAcentral. Lineage: Eukaryota; Metazoa; Chordata; Mammalia; Rodentia; Cricetidae.